AAUAAGAGAGAAGGGAAAAAAAAAUUAGCAAAACCCUAACUCUAAUUAGUCAGCCGUUUUUUUUUCCUCCCCAAGAUUUUCUAUCUCCUCCUUUUUUUCUUCUCACCUGCGUUCUUCCCUUCUCCUCUUCUCUACUUUCCUUUCUUCUUCCCUCGCAUCUGAAGACCUCCCUUCAUCGACGUGCGGGAAGUGACGAAGGUCGCCGGUGGCGCAGAAGUCGUUGAAGGUCGCAUGCGCGGGGCUAGAGCUGCUCGCGUCUGGUGGUCUGAUCGUAGGGGGUUCGAGUUUUCGAGUGUCGAUGGUUUGUGCGAGCGGUGUCACGCAGAGGAUGGAGUUUGUGGCGAGGGUUCGUGGUGCGAGUAGUGUCGCGGAGGUCAGAUAGAGGUAGUUCGAGCGUGCGUGGGGUUACGCGCAACGUUUGUAGCUCGGUUCGCCGAGUAGCAGGCGAGCACAUGAGUGUCACGUAGUCCAGCCAAUCAGUCGGAGGUUCGAGCGGUGGUCGGUGUCGGCGUCGGUCGCCGAUGGUCUGCGGUGGUUAUCUUUUUCUUUUCCUCUUUACAUUAUUAUAUAUAUUCUGAUUUUGUAAUUGUAACUUAAUUUGAUUAAGUUGUAAAUUGUUUGAGUAUUGUGAUUAUAAAUAACCUAUAAAAUAAGUAAAGAAAAUCAGAUUUAUAACUAAAGUUUCUUACGAGAAUUUUAUUAUUCAAAUCUAUCUUUUGUAAGACUUGUACAUAAGGGUGAGUGGUUUUGUAAAUAAAGUAUGGUAAAGGUUAAAGAAAUCAGAUUCUUUAUUACUACUAAUUCUUAGGAUGAUUUUAUUUUCCAAUUCUGAUUUAAUUAUACCCAUUUAUAUUGGUUUAAGUUUAUUAUUAUGAAUACGUAUAUUAUAGGAAAAAUUGACAAUAGAGGUCUGAACUUUGGGUGAUAAUUUUUAAAAGGUCUGAACCAAGGCCCACUAAAAGUUAAGACACUCUUAAGUUGGGACCUAUACAGGUUAAUCAAUAGUUCAGACCUUUUAAAAAUUAUCACCCAAAGUUCAGACCUCUAUUGUCAAUUUUUCCUAUAUUAUAAGCUAACUAAAAUCAAAUUUAUAAACAUAUUAUUUAUUAGUUUCCAAAAAUGUUAGUGUCAAUAAGGUUAUUAAAAAAAAAGGGAAGUAGAAGCUUCAUGUCCCUCCGAAAAUUACAAUGUUCCUUUAGAAAGCCUGUCAUGAUGGUCUUCCUCAGCAAUGUGUUAUUUGUUGUAAUUCUCAAGAGACUAUGACUCACCUUUGUUUUAAGUGUCCAUUUACUUUACAGGUGUUCUCCUGCCUUCACGAUAGUGCUUCUUGGCCUUCCCGCCCCGGUAAUAUUAAUUUCUCUAGUUACUUUCCUUUCCGGUACUGGAUUGAGGUGUGGCUACAAGGUGGUUUCAGGAUUGUCAGUUCCGUCACUGCCUUCGUGAAGCUAACAAGGCUGCUGACUUCAUAGCUAGGAAGGCGCAUGACCACUCCUCCUUACUGUACUGGUUCCCCCCGUACUGUUUGGAUUUUUCCCUCAUCAUCCGAAAGGAUGUUUUAGGCUGGCCCCCCGAUUAGGGAGUUAGCCUAAGUUUGUUCUACUUAUCAAAAAAAAAAAAAAACAAGAUUGGUUAUUGUUUUUAUAUUGUCGAAACACUAAGUCUUAUAUAGUUAGUCACGUUGUUUUAUUUUAAUAAUAUCAAGGACAUAGCACUGAAAUAUUUCAUUAUUCGAUUAGGUCCCAAUUUCAUAACCGGAGCUUUUAAAUAGUCAGUGAGAUUUUUCGCUACAAGAUACGUAUGCGUACUAGUUCAGUUACAUAUGUUAGUAUAAUACUAGGUUAUGAAUUCUUUCAUUGGAACCUAGAAUUAUGAUAAGUAAUAAUUGUAUGAUUAUGAUUGAUGAAAUUGUUUGGUAGCAUGAAAUGGAUUGGAAAUCUGUAUGUCUUUCCUGA
Molecule: long non-coding RNA, 1952 nt
Organism: Beta vulgaris subsp. vulgaris (sugar beet)
Lineage: Eukaryota; Viridiplantae; Streptophyta; Magnoliopsida; Caryophyllales; Amaranthaceae
Exons: 2
Source: RefSeq, a predicted model, not a curated record